GACGAACGCUGGCGGCGUGCCUAACACAUGCAAGUCGAGCGGGGAUUUAAGUGGAAGUUCUUCGGAAUGGAGAUUUAAAUUCUAGCAGCGGACGGGUGAGUAACGCGUGAACAAUCUGUCCCGGACAGGGGGAUAACACUUGGAAACAGGUGCUAAUACCGCAUAAGACCACGGCCUCGCAUGGGGCUGAGGUAAAAGGAGCAAUCCGGUUCGGGGUGAGUUCGCGUCCGAUUAGCUAGUUGGUGAGGUAACGGCCCACCAAGGCGACGAUCGGUAGCCGGCCUGAGAGGGUGAACGGCCACAUUGGAACUGAGAGACGGUCCAAACUCCUACGGGAGGCAGCAGUGGGGAAUAUUGGGCAAUGGGCGAAAGCCUGACCCAGCAACGCCGCGUGAGGGAAGAAGGUUUUCGGAUUGUAAACCUCUGUCCUAUGGGACGAAGGAAGUGACGGUACCAUAGGAGGAAGCCCCGGCUAACUACGUG
This 483-nucleotide ribosomal RNA is filed under the name uncultured bacterium. RNAcentral describes it as "partial 16S ribosomal RNA". It matches the Rfam family "Bacterial small subunit ribosomal RNA", at positions 28 to 507 of the family's 1533-position model. The record is from RNAcentral.